AGAGUUUGAUCAUGGCUCAGGACGAACGCUGGCGGCGCGCCUAAUACAUGCAAGUCGAACGGACACACCCUCGGGUGUGUUAGUGGCGGACGGGUGAGUAACACGUGGGUGACCUGCCUUCGAGUGGGGAAUAACGCUGGGAAACCAGCGCUAAUACCGCAUACGCUCCGCGUUUCAGUACGCGGAGGAAAGCUUGAUGUGCUCGAAGAGGGGCCUGCGGCGGAUUAGCUAGUCGGUGGGGUAACGGCUUACCGAGGCGACGAUCCGUAGCUGGUCUGAGAGGAUGACCAGCCACACUGGGACUGAGACACGGCCCAGACUCCUACGGGAGGCAGCAGUAAGGAAUCUUCCCCAAUGGGCGCAAGCCUGAGGGAGCGACGCCGCGUGGAUGAUGAAGCCCUUCGGGGUGUAAAAUCCUUUUCCCUGCGAUGAGAUGGACAGUAGCAGGGGAAUAAGCCACGGCUAACUACGUGCCAGCAGCCGCGGUAAUAC
This 492-nucleotide ribosomal RNA is filed under the name uncultured bacterium. RNAcentral's name for it is "bacterial SSU rRNA". It matches the Rfam family "Bacterial small subunit ribosomal RNA", at positions 8 to 526 of the family's 1533-position model. The record is from RNAcentral.